GAAAUUUACAGUAAAGUAAAUAAUCCGAGUACAAUUCUCCCAUCACUGCUGGCGAUUCACUCCACCUACGCCACUGACUGUAACAUAUAUCAGACGCACCCUUCAUAAUUAGGCGGUGUAUUUAAACUUCCACUUGUCUGUGCAGCUGUAACGUCAUUAACAAGCUAACCUACCAAUAGCCACAUUGUGUUGAUUCGCGACGUCUUUGUGGAGGAAUAAUGUGGGCUACUCCUCGCUGUUGCUGCCUUGUUGUGGAUCAAGUAACGUUAGCUUAUCGGCCACUUCAAGCCCUAAGUGGGGUUUCCACUCCUGUUGUGGAAGGACAACACCUGCCAAAGAGCUAUAACGUUAACUGCUGCACCAAGCUAGGGGGUUGAGGCGUUUCCAUAGCAGCCACCAGCCCGAGAGCGAGUCGCCGUAAUUAGUGAGGUUGGUUUCAUCUCGGCUGCCCACGUCAAUAGCUAUCACCACUUUAGCCCCCAUGGAGCGCGCAACAUCAGCUGAGAGAAGAGGAAGAAAUGGAAACAAAGGUGUCCAUCUUUGGGGUCGCAGAGAGGAGGCAGAUAACCAGACAAAGACAUGCUGGCUCGAACAUACCGCCACAGAGAACCUGAAACGGCACACAGACAUUGCUGAGGCUGGAGUUGAAGGAAGCACCGGAGAACAUGGAGGUGAUUGGGUACGUCAAAUCCAAAACCUUCUUAAACACCGAUGUCAUUUCCUGCAAGGGAAA
This is a long non-coding RNA of Perca flavescens (yellow perch), 733 nucleotides long. RefSeq lists it as uncharacterized. The transcript has 4 exons. Lineage: Eukaryota; Metazoa; Chordata; Actinopteri; Perciformes; Percidae. The record is from RefSeq and is a predicted model, not a curated record.